AUUCCUGUGGCGCAGUGGAUAGCGCGUUGGACUUCUAAUCCAAAGGUCCCGGGUUCGAACCCCGACGGGGAUG
Molecule: transfer RNA, 73 nt
Filed under: Rhipicephalus sanguineus (brown dog tick)
Lineage: Eukaryota; Metazoa; Arthropoda; Arachnida; Ixodida; Ixodidae
Description: transfer RNA arginine (anticodon UCU)
Rfam family: tRNA
About the family: Transfer RNA (tRNA) molecules are approximately 80 nucleotides in length.
Source: Rfam by way of RNAcentral